This 219-nucleotide long non-coding RNA is filed under the name Anser cygnoides (Swan goose). RNAcentral describes it as "lncRNA (ENSACDG00005009656.1)". Lineage: Eukaryota; Metazoa; Chordata; Aves; Anseriformes; Anatidae. The record is from RNAcentral.
AUGAUAGACUCCAUAACUUUCCUAAACAAUGAGUUCCAGUACCUCACUGUUCUUGCUAUUAGAAUGGGUCUCCCAGAAGUUCAGCCAGCCUGUCCUGAUGAAGCCAAUUCCCAGGAUGAGGCGGGGAAUUCCCAGAAGAGCUGGAGACCUGGAAGCCUCACUGAGAACUGCGAAGACACAUCCAGCAAGCCUGUCAAAACAGGGGCUGUUCGCACAUAG